GGAAUAUCUGGCCUGGACAAAGGACCAAGAUUCCAGCUGAGCAAGUCAGUCACACAGCAAGGAAACCACUCAAGAAGACGACAUAACUCCUAAGAAAGAUGGAAACACUUCAAGCCAUGCUAGAGAGAUAGAAGUUGAGUCAUAAUUGCCCUUUGGAUUGUCCUUGAUCCUACAACAUAUUG
Molecule: long non-coding RNA, 182 nt
Filed under: Cricetulus griseus (Chinese hamster)
Lineage: Eukaryota; Metazoa; Chordata; Mammalia; Rodentia; Cricetidae
Description: lncRNA (ENSCGRG00000025561.1)
Source: RNAcentral